Molecule: ribosomal RNA, 253 nt
Filed under: uncultured bacterium
Lineage: Bacteria
Description: partial 16S ribosomal RNA
Rfam family: Bacterial small subunit ribosomal RNA
Source: RNAcentral
UACGAAGGGGGCUAGCGUUGCUCGGAAUCACUGGGCGUAAAGCGCACGUAGGCGGCUUCUUAAGUCAGGGGUGAAAGCCUGGAGCUCAACUCCAGAACUGCCUUUGAUACUGAGGAGCUUGAGUCCGGGAGAGGUGAGUGGAACUGCGAGUGUAGAGGUGAAAUUCGUAGAUAUUCGCAAGAACACCAGUGGCGAAGGCGGCUCACUGGCCCGGUACUGACGCUGAGGUGCGAGAGCGUGGGGAGCAAACAGG